Acinonyx jubatus (cheetah) is the source of this 1175-nucleotide long non-coding RNA. RefSeq lists it as uncharacterized. The transcript has 2 exons. Lineage: Eukaryota; Metazoa; Chordata; Mammalia; Carnivora; Felidae. The record is from RefSeq and is a predicted model, not a curated record.
UCUCCACCCAGAAGCAGGCCUGGCAACCAGGCUGAAACACCACUGGCAGAAACCCAGCACCCACACAGCCAGGCAUGGGCUGGGGUUCCCCAGGGAGGACCAUCAAUCUUCUCACCCACCUAAGGCAUUUGGCUGCGGCAGGAGGGCCUCAGAGUUCCUACCCGAUGCGGAGUGGGACCCAAAGGAACAGGAUGCCAGGCCUCUGCGGGUCACCCGUGGUGGUAUGUGUGAAACCCCCGGCAGAGAACCCAACGUGGGCCAUGGGCCCAUCCCCAUCGGCCCAGCUCAGCCUGGCAAGGAGGCAGCCAGGUCCCGGAGAGCAGGGGCCCCAGAGCCAGCUUCCAGAAUUGGGGGUGUCUCCCCAUCCUGACUUUCCUCCACAACCCACCUGGGGUCUGUCACUCUACACCACCCAAAGCUCUUUACAUCGUGCCCUGUGUUGCAAUUCAGUACAAGUGCCCUGUGCAGAAGGGUGGCCUUUUACUCAUUCCAGAAAUAAAUGGCCAUCAAGCACCCACUACAUGUGAUGCACUGUGCCGGGCACUGGGACACCGAGGGACUAAACCACCACACCAUCCCCGUGUUCACAGAGCUUCCCAGGAGAGGCACAGGUAAACAACCAACAACAAAUAAUUACAAAUUGGGUUAAGUGCUAUGAAGACAGGAAAGUGUAAUUAGCCUGUGCUCACCUCUCUCUGGCCCCCGAGGCCUGCCCUCAUUAUGGAAUACCCACAACUGCCUGACCUCUCCAGCACGCUGCUCGGCCGAGGACCUCGCUUACACCUGGCAUAGCAAAGGAUGUGACAACAGUUUAAGGAACAUUUGCUGAGCCCAACUGGAGACAAAAACAAUUUUUUUUAAUUUUUUUAACGUGUAUUUAUUUAUUUUUGAGAGAGAGAGAGAGAGAGAGAGAGACAGAGCAUGAGUGGGGGAGGGGCAGAGAGCGAGGAAGACACAGAAUCCGAAGCAAGGCUCCAGGCUCCGAGCUGUCAGCACCGAGCCCGACGCGGGGCUCGAACCCACGCACCGUGAGAUCAUGACCUGAGCCAGACACUUAACCGCCUGAGCCACCAGGUGCCCCCCAAAUUUUUUUUAAUUAAAAAAACAGCAAACUAUAUGCUAACUAAUUUGGAUGUAAAUUUUAAAAAAUAAAAAAUAAAAUUAAAAAAAAAAAA